Molecule: long non-coding RNA, 351 nt
Filed under: Fragaria vesca (wild strawberry)
Lineage: Eukaryota; Viridiplantae; Streptophyta; Magnoliopsida; Rosales; Rosaceae
Description: long non-coding RNA (FVES_LNC002202)
Source: RNAcentral
GGGAUGGUGUAAGGAGGUCGCGGAUGCGAUCCAGAUUGUUGUGCGUUGUAGUAUGGACCCCGCCACCCUGGAUAAGCAGGUUGACCAUAUUCAUGGCUUGCAGGGGGCUGUUGCUGUGGAGGUGGGUAUGGACUACCAGCUUGAGGGGGUGGGUAUGGACUACCAGCUUGAUGGGGAGGGUAUGGACUACCAGCCUGAGGAGGUGCAUGGUACGGAGGAGGCAUCUGCUGCGUUGAGUAGGGGGGAGGCUGAGAAUAACCUGGCUGCUCAGGUGGUCGGUAGUAGGAUGUUUGAGGACGUGGAUCAGUUUGCUGUUGUGGACCAGAUCUUUGACUUUGACUUCCCGCAGAA